AGUAAACUUGCCCAGAUUCAGAUAGAUGAUAAUGAUAGUAUGUAAACAUCCCUUAAUUCAUGGUUCAUCAACAUCAUAGAUCACAUGCUUAUAUAAUCUUAAAGUACAUACACUGAUUACAAGCGAGAGAAUGCAAGGGAAGGUGUGGAUGAUGAGGGCUGAAACUCAUUGUUAACAAUAAACACGUUAGACCAGCAGCCUACGCCUUCAUAACAGCAGACAAGCUCUUUAACAGGUCACAUUAAACUUCGGGGCAGAAUUUGAUCCUGUUAAGCCAAAGUUGGGUGGCCAGAAAAUCUGAGAGUACUCAGGCAAUGUUGUUACUUUCUCAAUGAUAUGAUUUUCUAAUCGGAACACGCGAAUGCUAUCACUACUUAAUCCUUUUCCCUUGAAAUUAUCAUCAUCUGUGAAGUAAAUACAGUUCCCUUUCCCUCCAAAAAAAUCACCAGAUGAAAUGGAAAAAGAACAAUCCACACCCAACACAAAGGCUCUAUCACCCAAGGAUUUCACAUCAACCCAUGUACCCCACUCUUCAUCCAGCUUAUGGAUUCUGAAAUCAGUAGCGUUAGGAUUACACAUCCGGUAUGUCCUUCUACGAGCGGGGAAAUUAACAUCAAGAUUCUCAUAAUCAUUCCAUGUUCUCCUUUCUCCAUCCAGAUAUCUAUCAACUACAUAAAGAUCUCCACAUGACUCCACCAAAUUCUUCUGCCCACCACAACCGAACAAAGGAGGGGAAUACUGAAUCAGCUUCAAGGAAGAAUCAAUCCAAGAAACUGUACCCCAUCUAUCAACAACAUAAAAUUGGCCCUUAUAUUCAAUAAUAUCAUCAUAUUGAAAAUUUUUAUCAUCUAAAAGUGUCCAACUUUCAUCUCCGUAUUUCCAAUAACCCAAUUUUCCUUCGUGAUAAAUGGCCAGAAUGGAAAUUUCAUAUUUACUACAUCUAGCAGAAAUUGGAAAUAAAACGACUUUAUUUACCUCAUAAAGGGGGAACCCAAAUGGGAAUUUAAGCAUGAAAGCUUUACUUAACUCGAAAAACCGAAAGUCCAGCAAGUUCAACGUGAAUGGAGAGUACAUGAUUGGGUAAUCUGAGAGUGGAUGAACAAGCUUCAAUUUACCCAGCUUGGACACUCUAAUUUUAGUUAACCAGCCCUUGGAAUUCGAUUCUGAAGAAGAAGAAUUAGCAUUCUGAUGGGAAAAUUCCAUUCGGCAUAUGGUGGCAUGGAAGAGAACGGCAUCGAUGCCGAUGGGUUGAGGAAGUUUAAGGAUAAGAGGAGGAAUUUCUUCAUCAAAGGAAGGAAAUGAAACAGAGGAUCGCCAGGAAGUGCAGACAGAGCGAAGUCGGAGAACGUCAACACGAGAAUCAAGGCAUUUGGAGAUUGUUUGUAAGAGCUCCUUUGGAAGAUCGCUCCAUUCGCUCAUCUUGAAGAAAUUUGGUAGAGAAAGUUACCGAGAGCGUGUGCUAGUUUGUAGUGGCUUCAGAGAGAGCUGCUUAGUAAACAGAGCGACUUAGACCAUCAUAUUAUUGGAGGGUAGAUUGAACUUUU
RNAcentral lists this unclassified non-coding RNA (1544 nucleotides) under Hevea brasiliensis (rubber tree). Lineage: Eukaryota; Viridiplantae; Streptophyta; Magnoliopsida; Malpighiales; Euphorbiaceae. The record is from RNAcentral.